GACCACCUGCCCCUAGAGGCGCUGCAGGUGUGGCUGCUGUGUCACCUGUGAGUCAGUAGGUGGCAGAGGGGAAAGGGGCUGUGUCUACGCCCAGGGUUCUGACCUAUGAACAUCUGAAUGAUUAGUAGCCUAACAUUC
Molecule: small nucleolar RNA, 138 nt
Organism: Meriones unguiculatus (Mongolian gerbil)
Lineage: Eukaryota; Metazoa; Chordata; Mammalia; Rodentia; Muridae
Source: Ensembl